This 778-nucleotide ribosomal RNA is filed under the name uncultured Glomus. RNAcentral's name for it is "SSU rRNA". It matches the Rfam family "Eukaryotic small subunit ribosomal RNA", at positions 325 to 1104 of the family's 1831-position model. Lineage: Eukaryota; Fungi; Glomeromycota; Glomeromycetes; Glomerales; Glomeraceae. The record is from RNAcentral.
AUGGUAGGAUAGAGGCCUACCAUGGUGGUAACGGGUAACGGGGUGUUAGGGCACGACACCGGAGAGGGAGCCUGAGAAACGGCUACCACAUCCAAGGAAGGCAGCAGGCGCGCAAAUUACCCAAUCCCGACACGGGGAGGUAGUGGCAAUAAAUAACAAUACGGGGUUCUUUGAAUCUUGUAAUUGGAAUGAGUACAAUUUAAAUCUCUUAACGAGGAACAAUUGGAGGGCAAGUCUGGUGCCAGCAGCCGCGGUAAUUCCAGCUCCAAUAGCGUAUAUUAAAGUUGUUGCAGUUAAAAAGCUCGUAGUUGAAUUUCGGGAUCAAUACGUCGGUCGUGCUUUCGGGUACGUACUGGCGUCAUUGGUUUCUCCUUUCUGACGAACCAUGAUGUCAUUAAUUUGGUGUUAUGGGGAGUUAGGACUGUUACUUUGAAAAAAUUAGAGUGUUUAAAGCAGGCAUUAGCUUGAAUACAUUAGCAUGGAAUAAUGAAAUAGGACGUUCGAUCCUAUUUUGUUGGUUUCUAGGAUCAACGUAAUGAUUAAUAGGGAUAGUUGGGGGCAUUAGUAUUCAAUUGUCAGAGGUGAAAUUCUUGGAUUUAUUGAAGACUAACUACUGCGAAAGCAUUUGCCAAGGAUGUUUUCAUUAAUCAAGAACGAAAGUUAGGGGAUCGAAGACGAUCAGAUACCGUCGUAGUCUUAACCAUAAACUAUGCCGACUAGGGAUCGGAUGAUGUUAAUUUUUUAAUGACUCAUUCGGCGCCUUACGGGAAACCAAAGU